UGAUACAGGACACGGACGGAU
Molecule: non-coding RNA, 21 nt
Filed under: Caenorhabditis elegans
Lineage: Eukaryota; Metazoa; Nematoda; Chromadorea; Rhabditida; Rhabditidae
Source: RNAcentral